AUACGUAGGGUGCGAGCGUUAAUCGGAAUUACUGGGCGUAAAGCGUGCGCAGGCGGUUUUGUAAGUCAGAUGUGAAAUCCCCGAGCUUAACUUGGGAACUGCGUUUGAAACUACAAGACUAGAGUGUGUCAGAGGGGGGUAGAAUUCCACGUGUAGCAGUGAAAUGCGUAGAGAUGUGGAGGAAUACCAAUGGCGAAGGCAGCCCCCUGGGAUAACACUGACGCUCAUGCACGAAAGCGUGGGGAGCGAACAGGAUUAGAUACCCUGGUAGUCCACGCCCUAAACGAUGUCAACUAGUUGUUGGUGGAGUAAGAUCCAUGAGUAACGUAGCUAACGCGUGAAGUUGACCGCCUGGGGAGUACGGUCGCAAGAUUAAAACUCAAAGGAAUUGACGGGGCCCGCACAAGCGGUGGAUUAUGUGGAUUAAUUCGAUGCAACGCGAAAAACCUUACCUGGCCUUGACAUGUACCGAAUUUAGCAGAGAUGCUUUAGUGCUCGUAAGAGAACGGUAACAC
RNAcentral lists this ribosomal RNA (515 nucleotides) under uncultured Methylotenera sp. RNAcentral describes it as "bacterial SSU rRNA". It matches the Rfam family "Bacterial small subunit ribosomal RNA", at positions 523 to 1035 of the family's 1533-position model. Lineage: Bacteria; Pseudomonadati; Pseudomonadota; Betaproteobacteria; Nitrosomonadales; Methylophilaceae. The record is from RNAcentral.